Molecule: ribosomal RNA, 495 nt
Filed under: uncultured bacterium
Lineage: Bacteria
Description: bacterial SSU rRNA
Rfam family: Bacterial small subunit ribosomal RNA
Source: RNAcentral
UGAAGGUCUUCGGAUUGUAAACCUCUGUCACUGGGGAGAAAACGCUUUGAGUUAACAGUUCAAAGCCUGAUUUAACCCGGAGAGGAAGCAGUGGCUAACUCUGUGCCAGCAGCCGCGGUAAUACAGAGACUGCAAGCGUUAUUCGGAUUCACUGGGCGUAAAGGGUGCGCAGGCGGCCGUGUGUGUCAGGUGUGAAAUCCCGGGGCUCAACCCCGGAACUGCGCCUGAAACUACAUGGCUAGAGUAUUGGAGAGGGUAGCGGAAUUCACGGUGUAGCAGUGAAAUGCGUAGAUAUCGUGAGGAACACCAGAGGCGAAGGCGGCUACCUGGACAAUUACUGACGCUCAGGCACGAAAGCGUGGGGAGCAAAAGGGAUUAGAUACCCCUGUAGUCCACGCCCUAAACGGUGCACACUAGGUCUUGGCGGAUUCGACCCCUCCAGGGCCCAAGCUAACGCGUUAAGUGUGCCGCCUGAGGAGUACGGCCGCAAGGCUA